RNAcentral lists this ribosomal RNA (661 nucleotides) under Pseudomonas aeruginosa. RNAcentral describes it as "partial 23S ribosomal RNA". It matches the Rfam family "Bacterial large subunit ribosomal RNA", at positions 2269 to 2925 of the family's 2925-position model. Lineage: Bacteria; Pseudomonadati; Pseudomonadota; Gammaproteobacteria; Pseudomonadales; Pseudomonadaceae. The record is from RNAcentral.
UUUGACUGGGGCGGUCUCCUCCUAAAGAGUAACGGAGGAGUACGAAGGUGCGCUCAGACCGGUCGGAAAUCGGUCGCAGAGUAUAAAGGCAAAAGCGCGCUUGACUGCGAGACAGACACGUCGAGCAGGUACGAAAGUAGGUCUUAGUGAUCCGGUGGUUCUGUAUGGAAGGGCCAUCGCUCAACGGAUAAAAGGUACUCCGGGGAUAACAGGCUGAUACCGCCCAAGAGUUCAUAUCGACGGCGGUGUUUGGCACCUCGAUGUCGGCUCAUCACAUCCUGGGGCUGAAGCCGGUCCCAAGGGUAUGGCUGUUCGCCAUUUAAAGUGGUACGCGAGCUGGGUUUAGAACGUCGUGAGACAGUUCGGUCCCUAUCUGCCGUGGACGUUUGAGAUUUGAGAGGGGCUGCUCCUAGUACGAGAGGACCGGAGUGGACGAACCUCUGGUGUUCCGGUUGUCACGCCAGUGGCAUUGCCGGGUAGCUAUGUUCGGAAAAGAUAACCGCUGAAAGCAUCUAAGCGGGAAACUUGCCUCAAGAUGAGAUCUCACUGGGAACUUGAUUCCCCUGAAGGGCCGUCGAAGACUACGACGUUGAUAGGCUGGGUGUGUAAGCGUUGUGAGGCGUUGAGCUAACCAGUACUAAUUGCCCGUGAGGCUUGACCA